GAGGGCAGCCGCGAACCGCCGCCACCACUGGGUCUCCGCGGGCGCCUGCGCCGGUGUCUCGCCCUCCGGCCCGGGUCGUCCUGGAAAAACUCGCUCCGCUGGCCGCCGGGGCUCCACGGCGCUGCCCAUGGCCAAGCCCAGGAGCCGACUUCGGGCGCCGGACCGGCUGGACAGCCGAGGCGCGGCUCAGUAAUCAGAAGCCUGCAAUACCCAUGUGUCACUGAUCUGGAGACGACCCCCCGCGGGCAGCACUUCAUGACCCAGCGGCGCCCGGCCCAGUG
RNAcentral lists this long non-coding RNA (281 nucleotides) under Bos grunniens (domestic yak). Its description in RNAcentral is "lncRNA (ENSBGRG00000008594.1)". The record is from RNAcentral. Lineage: Eukaryota; Metazoa; Chordata; Mammalia; Artiodactyla; Bovidae.